UACAGAGGUCCCGAGCGUUGUUCGGAUUCACUGGGCGUAAAGGGUGCGUAGGUGGCAUGGUAAGUUUGAUGUGAAAGCUCAGGGCUUAACCCUGAAAUGGCAUUGAAUACUACUGUGCUGGAGGUUUGGAGGGGGGACUGGAAUUCUUGGUGUAGCAGUGAAAUGCGUAGAUAUUGGGAGGAACACCAGUGGCGAAGGCGGCGACCUGGGAAGAUACUGACGCUGAGGCACGAAAGCGUGGGGAGCAAACAGG
This 253-nucleotide ribosomal RNA is filed under the name uncultured bacterium. RNAcentral's name for it is "partial 16S ribosomal RNA". It matches the Rfam family "Bacterial small subunit ribosomal RNA", at positions 524 to 776 of the family's 1533-position model. The record is from RNAcentral.